GCCCUUUUCCGGUUGAUCCUGCCGGAGGCCAUUGCUAUUGGGAUCCGAUUUAGCCAUGCUAGUUGUACGAGUUCAGACUCGUAGCGAAUAGCUCAGUAACACGUGGCCAAACUACCCUUCGGAGCGCGAUAACCUCGGGAAACUGAGGCUAAUAGCGCAUCCCACACUCGGCCUGGAAUGGCGAGUGUGGCAAACGCUCCGGCGCCGAAGGAUGUGGCUGCGGCCGAUUAGGUAGACGGUGGGGUAACGGCCCACCGUGCCGAUAAUCGGUACGGGUCAUGAGAGUGAGAACCCGGAGACGGAAUCUGAGACAAGAUUCCGGGCCCUACGGGGCGCAGCAGGCGCGAAACCUUUACACUGCACGCCAGUGCGAUAAGGGGAUCCCAAGUGCACAGGCAUAGAGCCUGUGCUUUUGUCCACCGUAGGGAGGUGGACGAAUAAGGGCUGGGCAAGACCGGUGCCAGCCGCCGCGGUAAUACCGGCAGCCCGAGUGAUGGCCGAUCUUAUUGGGCCUAAAGCGUCCGUAGCUGGCCGCGCAAGUCCAUCGGGAAAUCUCCCCGCUCAACGGGGAGCCGCCCGGUGGAAACUGCGUGGCUUGGGACCGGAAGGCGCGACGGGUACGUCCGGGGUAGGAGUGAAAUCCCGUAAUCCUGGACGGACCGCCGAUGGCGAAAGCACGUCGCGAGAACGGAUCCGACAGUGAGGGACGAAAGCCGGGGUCUCGAACCGGAUUAGAUACCCGGGUAGUCCUGGCCGUAAACGAUGCCUGUUAGGUGUGGCUCCCACUACGAGUGGGUGCUGUGCCGUA
Molecule: ribosomal RNA, 808 nt
Filed under: uncultured archaeon
Lineage: Archaea
Description: bacterial SSU rRNA
Rfam family: Archaeal small subunit ribosomal RNA
Source: RNAcentral